Molecule: transfer RNA, 73 nt
Filed under: Bos taurus (domestic cattle)
Lineage: Eukaryota; Metazoa; Chordata; Mammalia; Artiodactyla; Bovidae
Also listed under: 1 other name
Rfam family: tRNA
About the family: Transfer RNA (tRNA) molecules are approximately 80 nucleotides in length. Their secondary structure includes four short double-helical elements and three loops (D, anti-codon, and T loops). Further hydrogen bonds mediate the characteristic L-shaped molecular structure. tRNAs have two regions of fundamental functional importance: the anti-codon, which is responsible for specific mRNA codon recognition, and the 3' end, to which the tRNAs corresponding amino acid is attached (by aminoacyl-tRNA synthetases). tRNAs cope with the degeneracy of the genetic code in two manners: having more than one tRNA (with a specific anti-codon) for a particular amino acid; and 'wobble' base-pairing, i.e. permitting non-standard base-pairing at the 3rd anti-codon position.
Source: Rfam by way of RNAcentral
UCCUUGGCAGUCCAGUGGCUAGGACUCAGGGCUUUCACUGCUGUGGGCCCAGGUUCAAUCCUUGGUUGGGGAA